GCCUGGGUGGCUCAGUUGGUUAAAGCAUCUGACUUUGGCUCAGGUCAUGAUAUUGCGGUUUGUGAGUUCGAACCCCAUGCUGGGCU
Molecule: transfer RNA, 86 nt
Filed under: Felis catus (domestic cat)
Lineage: Eukaryota; Metazoa; Chordata; Mammalia; Carnivora; Felidae
Rfam family: tRNA
About the family: Transfer RNA (tRNA) molecules are approximately 80 nucleotides in length. Their secondary structure includes four short double-helical elements and three loops (D, anti-codon, and T loops). Further hydrogen bonds mediate the characteristic L-shaped molecular structure. tRNAs have two regions of fundamental functional importance: the anti-codon, which is responsible for specific mRNA codon recognition, and the 3' end, to which the tRNAs corresponding amino acid is attached (by aminoacyl-tRNA synthetases). tRNAs cope with the degeneracy of the genetic code in two manners: having more than one tRNA (with a specific anti-codon) for a particular amino acid; and 'wobble' base-pairing, i.e. permitting non-standard base-pairing at the 3rd anti-codon position.
Source: Rfam by way of RNAcentral